CCAAACAUUUGUGGUGCCACAAAUCCCCCAUCCACAAUUGAUGAUACUGAAGAGCUGACCACUGAGAGCAAGUGCAUCCAUACAGCUGUCAGCCACCCAAAUCAGACCAGUCCAGAGCUCGGCCCUCUCACCAAGGCCCUUGAUGACAAAUUGGCUCCAAACAUUUGUGGUGCCACAAAUCCCCCAUCCACAAUUGAUGAUACUGAAGAGCUGACCACUGAGAGCAAGUGCAUCCAUACAGCCGUCAGCCACCCAAAUCAGACCAGUCCAGAGCUCGGCCCUCUCACCAAGGUUGG
Long non-coding RNA from Perca fluviatilis (European perch), 296 nucleotides. RefSeq lists it as uncharacterized. The transcript has 4 exons. Lineage: Eukaryota; Metazoa; Chordata; Actinopteri; Perciformes; Percidae. The record is from RefSeq and is a predicted model, not a curated record.